This 467-nucleotide ribosomal RNA is filed under the name uncultured bacterium. RNAcentral's name for it is "partial 16S ribosomal RNA". It matches the Rfam family "Bacterial small subunit ribosomal RNA", at positions 28 to 506 of the family's 1533-position model. The record is from RNAcentral.
GACGAACGCUGGCGGCGUGCUUAACACAUGCAGGUCGAACGGAAAGGCCCUGCUUUUGUGGGGUGCUCGAGUGACGAACGGGUGAGUAACACGUGAGUAACCUGCCCUUGACUUUGGGAUAACUUCAGGAAACUGGGGCUAAUACCGGAUAGGAGCUCCUGCUGCAUGGUGGGGGUUGGAAAGUUUCGGCGGUUGGGGAUGGACUCGCGGCUUAUCAGCUUGUUGGUGGGGUAGUGGCUUACCAAGGCUUUGACGGGUAGCCGGCCUGAGAGGGUGACCGGCCACAUGGGGACUGAGAUACGGCCCAGACUCCUACGGGAGGCAGCAGUGGGGAAUAUUGCACAAUGGGCGGAAGCCUGAUGCAGCAACGCCGCGUGCGGGAUGACGGCCUUCGGGUUGUAAACCGCUUUCGCCUGUGACGAAGCGUGAGUGACGGUAAUGGGUAAAGAAGCACCGGCUAACUACGU